Molecule: long non-coding RNA, 2202 nt
Filed under: Homo sapiens (human)
Lineage: Eukaryota; Metazoa; Chordata; Mammalia; Primates; Hominidae
Description: non-protein coding lnc-DNAJC17-2:1
Source: RNAcentral
UUUAUUAGGCUGCAAAAACAUCAGCCCUUUUUGUGGUCUCAUGUGAGGCAAAGUUCUGUCAGCUUACCUGGGCCACGGCUAACUCAUAUCCUGGGGUCUGGUUCCAGCACCUGAGUUUUAGUGAAAAUGUUCCUUUCCUUUCCCACCGCCACCCUUGCUUUCCAUGUCUCCACCCUCAGACUGUGAGCUAAGUGAGAGGCUGUGUUUCUCCAUCUGUUGCUGAAACUUUUGUCUCUGCAAGGGUUCUUCUCAGAGGCCAGGUAACUGUUUCUUGGGUGUCACUGCUUCCCUGGGCUUCCAAGGAUGAACAGCUAUUCCUGAGGAACAGCUGUUUGGAUUAAACAUGGAAAUGAGCCUCUAGAAGUAUCUGAUACCCCCCGGAUACUUAGCAUAUACAUGAAAAAGCAACUUGGGCUGGUUACUCAUCGAAUGUCAACUGUGCUGCUAGGAACAAUGCUGGGGGGAUGGGGAAGUAAGACUUUGUUUCUGAAGACAGAUGAUGGGAAGCUGGCUGGCUGGUUCCCUUUGGGAGGGGGGAUGUGGGGGAGAAGGCAUAUAUAGGAGGUCUUUCUUCCUCUGGUUCUGUUGGUUUCCAAGUAACAUCAGAAAUUCCUAGAAUAUCCCCUCCCAAUGUGACUAUCCUAAGAAAUUGCUUCCCAAGUCCCAGUGAUACACCUGUAUGCUUAAAGGCUAAUGAGACCCACUUUUUUGUCUGCCCAGAAGAUAAGUAGUAUAGUCAGGUCUCAUACUUUUAUGCUGAUUGUUUUCAUGCUUUUCAAGUUUUUAUUAAUGCCUGUGGCUGUACUCCUUAUGAGUGUAGGAGAGAUUUACUGUGUAAGAGAGAUUUACUGUGGUGAACCCAGCUUUUUUUAUACCUAGAAUACUUUGGAGACUUGUAAGCCUACCAUUAUCUACUAAAGAAUACUAAUUGGGGCCAGAGGUCCGUAAAGAAUGGGGAUUACGUACAGAUGAAAAUUAGGUAUUUUCAGCUCUAGUUGAGGGUACAGGGAUAGGGGACAAUGCAACUAGGCUGUGGUUGGGGCAUCCAUUCCUUGCAGUGAUGGUACUCAGCCCUUGUCCCUGAGCUUGCUGCUUCCCCCCUAGGUAUGCGGUGCUUUGUGGUCAGCUGGCUGAGCAUGAGAGCAUCCAGAGGCGCAUCCAGAGUGGCUUUAGCUUCAAGGAGCAUGUGGACAAAGCCAUUGCUCUCCAGCCAGAAAACCCCAUGGCUCACUUUCUUCUUGGCAGGUGGUGCUAUCAGGUCUCUCACCUGAGCUGGCUAGAAAAAAAAACUGCUACAGCCUUGCUUGAAAGCCCUCUCAGUGCCACUGUGGAAGAUGCCCUCCAGAGCUUCCUAAAGGCUGAAGAACUACAGCCAGGAUUUUCCAAAGCAGGAAGGGUAUAUAUUUCCAAGUGCUACAGAGAACUAGGGAAAAACUCUGAAGCUAGAUGGUGGAUGAAGUUGGCCCUGGAGCUGCCAGAUGUCACGAAGGAGGAUUUGGCUAUCCAGAAGGACCUGGAAGAACUGGAAGUCAUUUUACGAGACUAACCACGUUUCACUGGCCUUCAUGACUUGAUGCCACUAUUUAAGGUGGGGGGGCGGGGAGGCUUUUUUCCUUAGACCUUGCUGAGAUCAGGAAACCACACAAAUCUGUCUCCUGGGUCUGACUGCUACCCACUACCACUCCCCAUUAGUUAAUUUAUUCUAACCUCUAACCUAAUCUAGAAUUGGGGCAGUACUCAUGGCUUCCGUUUCUGUUGUUCUCUCCCUUGAGUAAUCUCUUAAAAAAAUCAAGAUUCACACCUGCCCCAGGAUUACACAUGGGUAGAGCCUGCAAGACCUGAGACCUUCCAAUUGCUGGUGAGGUGGAUGAACUUCAAAGCUAUAGGAACAAAGCACAUAACUUGUCACUUUAAUCUUUUUCACUGACUAAUAGGACUCAGUACAUAUAGUCUUAAGAUCAUACCUUACCUACCAAGGUAAAAAGAGGGAUCAGAGUGGCCCACAGACAUUGCUUUCUUAUCACCUAUCAUGUGAAUUCUACCUGUAUUCCUGGGCUGGACCACUUGAUAACUUCCAGUGUCCUGGCAGCUUUUGGAAUGACAGCAGUGGUAUGGGGUUUAUGAUGCUAUAAAACAAUGUCUGAAAAGUUGCCUAGAAUAUAUUUUGUUACAAACUUGAAAUAAACCAAAUUUGAUGUUAUC